AACAAACCAGUUUUUCACUUUUUAUCUAUAAUAUUUGAUUUUUCAUCUUAUUUAAAAAAAUUUUACGAUUAACAUUUUAUUUUUAUUAGAUGAGAAACCAUGAAUAGUACUUAACGUGUGACUAUUUUUUUUAAUUUUCUAAAAGAAUUUCAAAUAAGACGGAUGAUCAAAUUCUAGACAUAGGAACCGAAGAGUUGGUUUAUU
RNAcentral lists this microRNA precursor (204 nucleotides) under Oryza brachyantha (malo sina). Its description in RNAcentral is "MIR812 microRNA precursor family". It matches the Rfam family "MIR812 microRNA precursor family". The record is from Rfam by way of RNAcentral. Lineage: Eukaryota; Viridiplantae; Streptophyta; Magnoliopsida; Poales; Poaceae.